AAUAAAGUCAGCUAAAACUUUAAGCUAUUGGGUUCAUACCCCGAAAAUAAAUAUAUGAUUUCUUUAUUA
Molecule: transfer RNA, 69 nt
Filed under: Sepia officinalis (common cuttlefish)
Lineage: Eukaryota; Metazoa; Mollusca; Cephalopoda; Sepiida; Sepiidae
Description: tRNA-Met
Source: RNAcentral